GCUCAAAGGAGAGAGCUGCUUGCAAUCUUUCACCUGGUUUUGUUUUCCCCCAUGCACAGCAAUAAAAACCCCCGAUCUGCUUAUUCUCUACCUCUAGGCAAACGUCUUCAGUUACCUAUGGGAAGGGUCUCUUUAUUUCUUUUCCCCUGUCUGCUGCUCCUUCUCCUCCCUUCUGGCCAUCUCUUUGCCUUGGCUGCUUGAAUGUUUGCUCUCUCACUGUGCUGGCUCUCCACCUUUCCCCCCUGGGACAUUUCUUUUGGCUUGGUUUCCCUUUAGAGAAUCAUAACAUGUAGCUUCCGUUCCUGACUUUGCAGCUCCUGGUUACUCAGCUUCUGUGGUGCAGUGUCUAUCUGUGAAUGACCCUCCUCCCUUCUUCCCUGGCCUUUUCAACUCCCCUGUGUGAAUCACCCUGACUGAGGAGGGGGGGAGAAAGGAAGACCUUGGCAUUACUAACCCUUUAUGGAGAAUGUCACCAUUAUCCCAACCCAGUGGUGAGAGGAUGAAGAUCCAGUCAUCUGGCGAGUCAGGAUCCAAUCAGCUAACAGGCCAGAGCCCCACCCUCCAGGAUGCUCAGGACUUCCACGGGGCCAAGAGAACGGAUACACUAUGCAGGAGGUGGUCACUCCCUGGAAAUGGUCCCUGGCUCCCGGCUUGGCGACUUCUCCGCUUCCAGCCGCUUCUUCCAGGAGGAGGGAGGAGAUGGAGUGACCUGCCUCUUCCCAAGCAGCUUCCAAAUGGGCCACCCUCCCGGCCCGUUGAGUCCAUGACACAUCCCAAGCAGCUAACGAAUGCUGAGAGAAGCUGGGAGCCGCCGGCCUCCAGAUGUCCGGUUUUCUGGCCCCACCCUCUCCACUCUGGCCGG
RNAcentral lists this long non-coding RNA (862 nucleotides) under Ornithorhynchus anatinus (platypus). Its description in RNAcentral is "lncRNA (ENSOANG00000049695.1)". Lineage: Eukaryota; Metazoa; Chordata; Mammalia; Monotremata; Ornithorhynchidae. The record is from RNAcentral.